Molecule: long non-coding RNA, 402 nt
Filed under: Mytilus galloprovincialis (Mediterranean mussel)
Lineage: Eukaryota; Metazoa; Mollusca; Bivalvia; Mytilida; Mytilidae
Source: RNAcentral
GUGGUAACCCUUCAUUCGAGGUAGGGGUAGUUAAGAAAAUAAGUGUUAGUUUAAACUCUGAAAAUAUCAGGGCAUAUAAACGUUCAAAAUAUGCCACACAGCCCUAUAUUUAGACCUUUGAAAAAAAAAUGCAGUGCAUAUGAACUUUCAAUUCUAGGAUAAGAUUUUUUUUCAAAACUUCAUAGUAAAAGUGGUACAGUUUUAGCCGUAAAAGGAGUUCCUAUGGGAAAUUGCAUUGUCAAUAUUUACAGAAAUGCAACCUAUAACUUAUUUGUGUAUAAAAAUUAAUUGCUUUGAAAAGUAAAUUUGGAAAUGGUUUCAAAAGGAGGGUUAACAAACAUGGUUUAUAUAAGGUUCAUGUUAAAUGCACAUCUAUACCACGUCGGAUUGGUUGCAAUCAAG